This 1566-nucleotide long non-coding RNA is filed under the name Callithrix jacchus (white-tufted-ear marmoset). RNAcentral describes it as "lncRNA (ENSCJAG00000073351.1)". Lineage: Eukaryota; Metazoa; Chordata; Mammalia; Primates; Cebidae. The record is from RNAcentral.
UGUAAUCCCAGCACUUUGGGAGGACGAGGCGGGUGGAUCACGAGGUCAACAGAUCGAGACCAUCCUGGUCAACAUGGCGAAAUCCCGUCUCUACUAAAAAUUACAAAAAAUUAGCUGGGCACGGUGGCACGUGCCUGUAAUCCCAGCUACUCAGGAGGCUGAGGCAGGAGAAUUGCCUGAACCCAGGAGGGGGAGGUUGUGGUGAGCUGAGAUUGUGCCAUUGCACUCCAGCCUGGGUAACAAGAGCGAAACUCCGUCUCAAAAAAAAAAAAAAAAAAAAGAAAGGCAGAGGUGAAGAAGGGUAUGUCCAUAUAGGGAACAGCAAGAGCAGGGGCGGGGGUAGGGGCAGGGACAUGACCCAACCUGGAAGGGUUGCAGGUUCAAGUGAUUUGCCUUCCUCAGCCUCCCAAAGUGGUGGGAUUACAUGUGUGAGCCACCGCACCUAGCCCUGAUUUGCUGAUUUUUUUAAUGAAAUUUUUUCAUCUAAGUUAAUAAGAAUUAUUGUUCAUAGUUUUUUUUGUUUGUUUGUUUGUACUGUCUUUGGCUGGUUUCAUCUCAGGGUAAUAACAAAUUCAUAAAAUGACCACGGGAGUGCUUCCUCCUAUUUUAUUUUCUGGAACAAAUUGCAUAAAAUUGUGUUAUUUCUUUAAAUGUUUGAUAGAACACUCUGGUAAAACCAUAUGGGCCUGAAAAUUGUCUUUAUGGAAGUUUUUUAAUUACAAAUACAUUUAUGUAGUUGUAUAGGGCUAGUCAGGUUAUCCUCUCUAUCUUGGUAUGUUUUGUAAGUUUUUGGAUUUUGAAGAUUUGUUCCAUUUCUUCUAAUGUUUUGUAUUUAUGAUGCAAAUUUAUUCAUAGUAUUUUCUUACUGCUUUUUAAUGGCUGUAGGGUCUGUAGUCAUAGCCUGUUUUCAUUCCUGAUAUUGAGGAUUUACGGUUUUUUGAUCAUUUUAUCUUUGUCAGUCUUGCUAAAAGUUUUUCAAUUUUGUUGAUUAUUCUCAAAGAACCAGUUUUUCGUUUCAUUUAUCUUUUCCAUUGUUUUCCUGUUUACAAUUUUAUUUAUUGCUACUCUUACCUUCAUGAUUUUCUUCCUUUUUAUCUUCUUUGGGUUUAUUUGGCUCUUCAUUUUUAGUUUCUUGAGAUAGGAUGGUAUAGCUUGAAUGUGUGUCCCUGCCAAUGCCAAAUCUCAUGCUGAAUGGUAAUCUCCAAUGCUGGGGGUGGAGCCUGUGGGAAGUAACUGGAUAAUGGGAGUGGAUAUCUCAAGAAUGGUUUAGCACCCUCCCCUUGGUGCUGUCCUCAUAAUAGUGAAUGUGUUCUCACAAGAUGCAGCAAACCACCAUGGCACAUGUAUACCUCUGUAACAAAUCUGCACGUUCUGCAUAUGUACCCUAGAAUUUAAAGCAUAAUAAUAAUAAAAUAAAUAAAAUCAUUAAAAUAUUAUAAAUAUUUAUAAAUUUUUAUAUUAUUAAAUAUUUAUAAAUAUUAUAAAUAUUUAUAAAUAAAUAAAUAAAUAAAUAAAUAAAUAAAUAAAUAAAAGUGUGUGGCACCUCUCUCCCCCUCUCUUUCUUGU